This 76-nucleotide transfer RNA is filed under the name Bacillus subtilis. RNAcentral's name for it is "tRNA-Glu(ttc)". It matches the Rfam family "tRNA". Rfam says of the family: Transfer RNA (tRNA) molecules are approximately 80 nucleotides in length. Their secondary structure includes four short double-helical elements and three loops (D, anti-codon, and T loops). Lineage: Bacteria; Bacillati; Bacillota; Bacilli; Caryophanales; Bacillaceae. The record is from RNAcentral. RNAcentral also lists the same sequence under 13 other names.
UGGCCCGUUGGUCAAGCGGUUAAGACACCGCCCUUUCACGGCGGUAACACGGGUUCGAAUCCCGUACGGGUCAUCC